RNAcentral lists this long non-coding RNA (204 nucleotides) under Elaeis guineensis (African oil palm). Its description in RNAcentral is "long non-coding RNA (EGUI_LNC006978)". Lineage: Eukaryota; Viridiplantae; Streptophyta; Magnoliopsida; Arecales; Arecaceae. The record is from RNAcentral.
AUCUAAUCUAUUUUGUAUCUUAAUUUAUUUGCAAAACAAGUAUAAACAUUAGCAUUCAAGCAAUGUUUGCAUUUAAGUUUUUAACUUUAUUUUUCAUACAUGAUAUUUCUUUUUUUAUUUGAAAAAUUAUGAUGGAAUGAUAUGUCACUGCCUAUAACUGAAUCUGUGACCUCUCUCACAGUCUGCUUUGUGAAAGAUCCCAGC